This 429-nucleotide ribosomal RNA is filed under the name Gemmatimonadota bacterium. RNAcentral's name for it is "Gemmatimonadetes bacterium partial 16S ribosomal RNA". It matches the Rfam family "Bacterial small subunit ribosomal RNA", at positions 355 to 776 of the family's 1533-position model. Lineage: Bacteria; Pseudomonadati; Gemmatimonadota. The record is from RNAcentral.
UAGGGAAUCUUCGGCAAUGGACGAAAGUCUGACCGAGCAACGCCGCGUGAGUGAAGAAGGUUUUCGGAUCGUAAAACUCUGUUGUUAGAGAAGAACAAGGACGUUAGUAACUGAACGUCCCCUGACGGUAUCUAACCAGAAAGCCACGGCUAACUACGUGCCAGCAGCCGCGGUAAUACGUAGGUGGCAAGCGUUGUCCGGAUUUAUUGUGCGUAAAGCGAGCGCAGGCGGUUUCUUAAGUCUGAUGUGAAAGCCCCCGGCUCAACCGGGGAGGGUCAUUGGAAACUGGGAGACUUGAGUGCAGAAGAGGAGAGUGGAAUUCCAUGUGUAGCGGUGAAAUGCGUAGAUAUAUGAAGGAACACCAGUGGCGAAGGCGGCUCUCUGGUCUGUAACUGACGCUGGGGCUCGAAAGCGUGGGGAGCAAACAGG